Malus domestica (apple) is the source of this 4919-nucleotide non-coding RNA. NCBI's taxonomy places the organism in Eukaryota, Viridiplantae, Streptophyta, Magnoliopsida, Rosales, Rosaceae. The record is from RefSeq and is a predicted model, not a curated record.
AGAGAGAGUAGAGAGAAUGAAUCAAAUCACUUGGCAAUUGAACUUUAUUUGGAGGCUUGGUUUUCAAGGAUCGAGGAUUCCUUGGAAGUGGGAAUUUAAAUGGAGAGAGGAGAGAGGAGGAAUCAAAUCACGUGGCAAGGAAACUUUAUUUGGAGGCUUAGUUUUCAAGGAUUGAACAAGAUUCUUUGGCCGUGGAACUUUAAAUGGAGAGAGGAGAGAGAAUGAAUCAAAUCACUUGCAAUGGAACUUUAUUUGGAGGUUUGGUUUUCAAUGAUCGAACUAGAUUCUUUGGCGGUGGAACUUUAAAUGGAGAGAGCAGAGUGAAGCAAACAAAUCACUUGGUAGUGGAACUUUAUUUGGAGGCUUGGUUUUCAAGGAUCACAAGAUUCUUUGGCAGUGGAAUUUUAAAUGAAGAGAGUUGAGAGAAGGAAUCACGCUUGAGACCUCAAGCAUGAUUCUUUCACACACAUCAUCUUCUAAGAACAUUAUCUUGAAACAAGAAGGAUACUUUUAUGAUCUUUUUUCAAUUCCAUGUUAUUUCUUUAUUUAAAAUGAAUAGAAGAAUGAUACUUCCAUAAUCCUUCACUUGUAGCUAAGAUGUGCAGAGUGUGAAGUGUAUAUAGAAUAUGUGGAACUAGAAAAUGUAAAGUGUAUAGUGAGAGUGUGGGGUGUGAGGGUAGUAUGGGAAGUGUGUGGGGUGUAUUACGAUAAAUUUUAAUUAAAAAAGCAAAUGUGGGUGUAUUAAGUAUGUAUGAUGUAUUCAACAAAGUGGGGUGUUAAUAUAACUUUAUUCUAUUUGAAUCGCGAUGUACUAAAUGUGUCAUGUCUUUUAUUUUUUGAGAUUUGUAGUGUCGCUGUGUUCGUCGUAUUCAUGUCCGUAUCCAUGCGUGAGAGUCUAAAUAAAAGUUUUAAUCCUAGGGGGUAUAUUUGGAAGAAUGGAUUUGGAAGCAUAUAUUUGGAAGAAUAGAUAUGCAAGCAUAUAUUUGGAAGAAUAGAUGCAAGAAUUAAGCCUCCAAGUCCAAAUAAAGUUCCACACUUCCACUGCCGUGUGAUUCCUUCUCCCUACUCUCUCCAUUUAAAGUUCCAUUGCCAAAGAAUCUUAUUUGAUCCUUGAAAACCAAGCCUCCAAAUAAAGUUUCAUUGCCAUUACUCUCUCCAUUUCAGUUUCACUGCCAAAGAAUCUUGUUCGAUCCUUGAAAACCAAGCCUCCAAAUAAAGUUCCAUUGCCAAGUGAUUUGAUUCCUUCUCUCUGCUCUCUCCAUUUAAAUUUCCACUGCCAAAGAAUCUUGUUCGAUCCUUGAAAACCAAGACUCCAAAUAAAGUUGCACUGCCAAGUGAUUUGAUUCAUUCUCUCUCUUUUCUCCAUUUAAAGUUCCACUGCCAAAGUAACAACUAAUUAAAUGUCUGUCUGGAACCUUGUUUGAUCUUUGAAAACCAAACACAGUACAGUUCCUCUCAAUCUUUUAUGUAUCUCAUCAUACAAUGAGCCUAUAAACUCCAAAAUAUUGAGAAGACCCAUUGGAUUAUACAAGUUUGAAGCAAUGGAGGCUGUUCGGGAUCAGGAGCAGCAAAGUCCACCGGUUGCCAGUCGAAACUGCGAAGAAACAGCGAUCAACCUAAGCGAUUGAAAACAGCAAAAGGGAAGAACAAGGAAGGAGACGAGUAGGUUUUUUUGUGCCUCAUAAAAGUUUUCGGAUAAGAAAAUUGAUAGGUUUAAAUAAAAUUAGAGUGAAGGAAGAGGAGAGAAAGAAGGAAUCAAAUCACUUCGCAGUGAAAUUUUAUUUGGAGGCUUGGUUUUCAAGGAUCAAACAAGAUUCUUUGGCAAUGGAACUUUAAAUGGAGAGAGGAGAGAGAAGGAAUCAAAUCAUUUGGUAGUGGAACUUUAUUUGAAGGAUUGGUUUUCAAGGAUCGAACAAGAUUAUUUGGCAAGGGAACUCUAAAUGGAGAAAGUAGAGAGAAGGAAUCAAAUCACUUGGCAAUGGAACUUUAUUUGAAGGCUUGGUUUUCAAGGAUCGAACAAGAUUAUUUGGCAAUGGAACUUUGAAUGGAGAGAGGAGAGAGAAGGAAUCAAAUCACUUAACCGUGGAACUUUAUUUGGAGGAUUGGUUUUCAAGGAUCGAACAAGAUUCUUUGGCAAUGGAACUUUAAAUGGAGAGAGUAGAGAGAAGGGAUCAAAUCACUUGACUAUGGAACUUUAUUUGGAGGCUUGGUUUUCAAGGAUCGAACAAGAUUCUUUGGCAGUGAACUUUAAAUGGAGAGAAGAGAGAGAAGGAAUCAAAUCACUUGGCAUUGGAACUUUAUUUGGAGGCUUGGUUUUAUUCUUUGGCAGUGGAACUUUAUUUGGAGGCUUGGUUUUCAAGGAUCAAACAAUAUUCUUUGGCAGUUGAACUUUAAAUGGAGAGAGUAGAGAAAAGAAAUUGAAUCACUUGGCGUGGAACUUUAUUUGGAGGCUUGAUUUUCAAGGAUCGAACAAGAUUUUUUGGUAGUGGAACUUUAAAUGAAGAGAAGGAAUCGCGCUUGAGACCUCAAACAAGAUUUUUUCACACACAUAAUCUUCUAAGAACAUUAUCUUAAAACAAGAAGGAUACUUCUAUGAUCUUUUUUCAAUUCCAUUUUGUUUCUUUACUUAAAAUGAAUAGAAGAAUGAUACUUCCAUAGUCCUUCACUUGCACCUAGGAUGUGAAGAGUGUGAAGUGUAUAUAGAAUAUGUGGGUGUAGAAAAUGUAAAGUGUAUAGUGUGAGUGUGGGGUGUGAGGGUAGUAUGGGAAGUGUAUGUGUGUAUUUAGAUAAAUUUUAAUUAAAAAAACAAAUGUGGGUGUAUUAAGUAUGUAUGGUGUAUUCAACAAAGUGGGGUGUUAAUAUAAAUUUAUUCUAUUUUAAUCGCAAUGUACUAACCGUGUCGUGUCUUUUAUUUUUUGAGAUUUGCAGUGUCGUCGUGUUCAUCGUAUUCAUGUCCGUGUCAAUCCGUGAGAGUCUAAAUAAAAAUUUUAAUCCUAGGAGGUAUAUUUGGAAGAAUGGAUUUGGAAGCAUAUAUUUGGAAGAAUAGAUGCAAGAAUUAAGCCUCCAAGUCCAAAUAAAGUUCCACACUUCACUGCUGUGUGAUUCCUUCUCCCUACUCUCUCCAUUGAAAGUUCCACUGUCAAAGAAUCUUGUUUGAUCCUUGAAAACCAAGUCUCCAAAUAAAGUUCCAUUGCUAAGUGAUUUGAUUCAUUUUCUCUACUCUCUCCAUUUAUAGUUCCAUUGCCAAAGAAUCUUGUUCGAUCCUUGAAAACCAAGCCUCCAAAUAAAGUUUCAUCGCCAAGUGAUUUGAUUCUUUCUCUCUACUCUCUCCAUUUAAAGUUCCACUGUCACAGAAUAUUGUUCGAUCCUUAAAAACCAAGCCUCCAAAUAAAAUUCCACUACCAAGUGAUUUGAUUCCUUCUCUCUACUCUCUCCAUUUAAAGUUGCACUGCCAAAGAAACAACUAAUUAAAUGUCUGUCUGGAACCUUGUUCGAUCGUUGAAAACCAAACACAGUACAGUUCCUUUUAAGUGCAAAAUAAAAACUUGAGACCUCAAGCGAGAAUCGAACAUUAUCUUCUAAGAACAUUAUCUUGAGGUCUCAAGGAUCGAACAAGUUUUUACAUCUUGAGGUCUCUAAGAACAUGGCACGUGGCUGAAGUUUGAUCCUCGCUUGAGGUCUCAAGUUUUUAUUUUGCACUUGACGUCUCAAGUUCAAUUUUCGCUUCAUAAUAUUGUUUGUACAAUAAAGAGCAAAAAAUAUGGGUGAAAUUUAGUUGUUCUUUUAUGAUCAAGGAGCCAGUCGAAACUGCGAAGAAACAGCGAUCAACCUAAGCAAUUGAAAACAGCAAAAGGAAAGAACAGUAUGGAAGGAGACGAGUAGGUUUUUUGUGCCUCAUAAAAGUUUUCGGAUAAGAAAAUUGAUAGGCUUAAAUAAAAUUAGAGUGAAGGAAUCCCGCGAAUCUAGUUUUCGACAUAAAAGUCGAAAGUCUCAAACGGAAUAAACCAAAGCUACCGGAGACGGAAUGAAGCAACCGAGCCAAUAGUAAAAGUUACAGCUGCAACUAAUCUCAGAAUGCUGAAGUUUGUGCUGAAAAUAUGGCAAGAGAGUCCAUAAGCACAGUGAUCAGCAGAUAUGAUGAUCAACCAAGAAUGGGGAAGAUGCGAGCCACGUGCUCUAAUGAACAGUGGCGAAGCCACGUGAGGGCGAGGAGUGGCGGUCGCCACUCCCCUCGCCGGGAAACACCAUUGGAGAUCUGGGUUCGCCAUUCCCCUAACCGGAAAACCCACUGGUUUCAUCCUCUGUUUUUGUUGCCGAUGAUGUUGGGUUCUCUGUUCUGCCACACAGCAGCAGCAUAUUAGCUCUUUUUUUUUUUUUAAAUCCAGGCCAAAACGACGUCGUUUUGGUCCUGUUAAAAAAAUUAAAAAUUUUUAAGUGAAACGGCGCCGUUUUGAAAAGAAAAAAAAUAUUAUAUAGGGGGGACCGCGUGCGUGUCGCCUUGUCCCCCACUCGUUUCCCCUUUACUUUCUUCUAUCCCUCUCGUAACCUGUUCACCAAUCAGACAGAGAGGUGAGGUCCCACUGCUUUCAAAAUCCCAGCAGCAGCCAACCAAGUUCCAACACCAACGGAACGGAAAUGUUUUCAAUUUCUGUUCCCGUUUGGCUUCUUGCUGCCAUCACAAGCCAUUCUCUAGCCAUUGAGCCAUCGGCUUCCAUUCUUUAAAGGACUUAGAUUCGUGGCAUACAAUUCCGGCAUCAAGGCAUUCCCGCAUCAGCAUCUUCGAGUCCUCUCGGUGUAGAAGCCAUCCUUUGUUCAUUCAAUUUUAUAUUUUUCCUUUUUAGUGUCUUGAAUUAGUCGUAUGCUCUAAACACGUUCCACAAUUGCAUAUUCAUUAUAUUUAAAUUUACAAGUUUUAUUUA